Molecule: ribosomal RNA, 271 nt
Filed under: uncultured bacterium
Lineage: Bacteria
Description: partial 16S ribosomal RNA
Rfam family: Bacterial small subunit ribosomal RNA
Source: RNAcentral
UACGGAGGGUACAAGCAUUAAUCGGAAUUACUGGGCGUAAAGGGUGCGUAGGCGGAUUGGUAAGUCAGGUGUGAAAUUCCGGUACUCAAUACCGGAGCUGCACUUGAAACUACCUUUCUUGAGGGUGGGCGGAGAGAACGGAAUUCCAUAUGUAGCGGUGAAAUGCGUAGAUAUAUGGAAGAACACCUGUGGCGAAAGCGGUUCUCUAGCUUACUUCUGACGCUGAUGCACGAGAGUGUGGGGAGCAAACAGGAUUAGAUACCCCUGUAGU